GAGUGAACGCUGGCGGUCGGCCUAACCCAUGCAAGUCGAACGGCAGCACAGUAAGAGCUUGCUCUUACGGGUGGCGAGUGGCGGACGGGUGAGGAAUACAUCGGAAUCUACUUUUUCGUGGGGGAUAACGUAGGGAAACUUACGCUAAUACCGCAUACGACCUACGGGUGAAAGCAGGGGAUCUUCGGACCUUGCGCGAUUGAAUGAGCCGAUGUCGGAUUAGCUAGUUGGCGGGGUAAAGGCCCACCAAGGCGACGAUCCGUAGCUGGUCUGAGAGGAUGAUCAGCCACACUGGAACUGAGACACGGUCCAGACUCCUACGGGAGGCAGCAGUGGGGAAUAUUGGACAAUGGGCGCAAGCCUGAUCCAGCCAUACCGCGUGGGUGAAGAAGGCCUUCGGGUUGUAAAGCCCUUUUGUUGGGAAAGAAAAGCAGCAGGUUAAUACCCCGCUGUUCUGACGGUACCCAAAGAAUAAGCACCGGCUAACUUCGUG
Molecule: ribosomal RNA, 493 nt
Filed under: uncultured bacterium
Lineage: Bacteria
Description: partial 16S ribosomal RNA
Rfam family: Bacterial small subunit ribosomal RNA
Source: RNAcentral